Molecule: long non-coding RNA, 386 nt
Organism: Vidua macroura (Pin-tailed whydah)
Lineage: Eukaryota; Metazoa; Chordata; Aves; Passeriformes; Viduidae
Exons: 3
Source: RefSeq, a predicted model, not a curated record
UCUGCCAGCAAGUUUUUCUUCACCACAACAGAAACCAGUUUCUGUGGCUUCCUACCUGCAAGUAGCCCAUCAAAGCCAGAAAUAGCCAGUUGUUGUGUAAGAUGGGAGUGGCCAGACUUCAGCCACAACUCCCUGAUUUCAUUCACUGAAGAUGUACUCUUCACAGUCCUUUAGUCAGAUCAGGCCUCAAAGCGAGCAAAGGAUAUUCCAGAACAGCAAGGACCUUACCCCAACACAGGAAGGAUCUCCAGGCAGUUUCCUUCCGAGUGGCUGCAGAUCCUGGAACCAAGCUCUGUGGCAGCCAGUGUAAACCUACUCAUACACUUUGACAUGUUCUUCUGUUGUGGAGUCAUCUGCUACUGCCCUGUCUAAAAUUUGGAGCGUGG